Molecule: long non-coding RNA, 1067 nt
Filed under: Cyanistes caeruleus (blue tit)
Lineage: Eukaryota; Metazoa; Chordata; Aves; Passeriformes; Paridae
Description: lncRNA (ENSCCEG00000005591.1)
Source: RNAcentral
CCAGGAGGAUCCCAAACUCCCGCCCAUCCCAACAUUCCCGGAAUUCCGGCUCACCUCGGCCAGGAAGGCGGUGCCGGUCACCCUCUGGCACUCGAAGACGCUUCCCAGGAUCGGGAUGAGGCUCCGGACGAUCGGGGGGAGACGAGGCCCCAUGAGCCGAGCCAUGGCCCUGGGCGGGAACAGAGAUCGGAACGGCGGGAAUCGCAUCGGGAAUGGCGGGAAUCGCAUCGGGAAUGGCGGGAAUGGUGGAAAUCGGCCCAGGAUGGCGGGAAUCAGCUCGGGAAUGGCGGGAAUGGGCUCGGGAAUGGCAGGAAUUGGCUUGGGAAUGGAGGGAAUGGGCCCGGGAAUGUUGGGAAUCGGCUCAGGAAUGUCAGGAAUGUUGGGAAUUGGCCCAGGAAUGGCGGGAAUGGGCUCGGGAAUGGCGGGAAUGGGCUCGGGAAUGGCGGGAAUGACAGGAAUCGGCCUGGGAAUCAGCCCAGAAAUUAUCCCAGGAAUCAUCUUGGGAAUCCCAGAAAUCAUCCCGGAAAUCCUGGAAUUCUUUGGGAAUUCCCAAAUCCCACCCUCAAAAUCCCAGAUUUUCCUUGGGAAUCCCCCAAAUCCCAGAAUUCCUUCAAAAACUCCCAAAUCCCACCCACAAAAUCCCAGAAUUCCUUCAGGAAUCCCCCAAAAUCCCAGAAUUCUCCCCCAAAUCCCGGAAUUCCGUACCCUGCCAGGAGAGCGAUUCCCUCGUGGUGCCGCUCGGGAAUUCCCAUCAAUUCCCAACCUCCGGAAUUCCCAACGUCCCGCACGACCUCGGAGCCGCCGGCCCGGACCAGAGCGGCCUGAAGGGUGCUCACGGCGUAGCUGGAAAAUCCGGAAAUGGGAUCGGGAUCGGGAUUGGGAUUGGGAUCAAGAUUUGGGAUUGGAUUUGGGAUUUGGGAUCGGGAUCGGGAUUGGGAUUGGGAUCGAGAUUUGGGAUUGGAUUUGGGAUUUCCCGGCCUGAACCUGAGCGGCCUGAAGGGUGCUCACGGCGUAGCUGGAAAAUCCGGAAUGGGAUUGGGAUCAGGAUUGGGAUUGGGAUUGGAUUU